RNAcentral lists this ribosomal RNA (253 nucleotides) under uncultured bacterium. Its description in RNAcentral is "partial 16S ribosomal RNA". It matches the Rfam family "Bacterial small subunit ribosomal RNA", at positions 524 to 777 of the family's 1533-position model. The record is from RNAcentral.
UACGUAGGGAGCGAGCGUUGUCCGGAUUCAUUGGGCGUAAAGAGCUCGUAGGCGGCUUGGCAAGUCGGGUGUGAAAACUCCAGCUCAACCUGGAGACGCCACCCGAUACCUGCCAUGGCUAGAGUCCGGUAGGGGACCACGAAUUCUGGUGUAGCGGUGAAAUGCGCAGAUAUCAGGAGGAACACCGGUGGCGAAGGCGGUGGUCUGGGCCGGAACUGACGCUGAGGAGCGAAAGCGUGGGGAGCGAACAGGA